RNAcentral lists this long non-coding RNA (461 nucleotides) under Panax ginseng (ginseng). RNAcentral describes it as "long non-coding RNA (PGIN_LNC008572)". Lineage: Eukaryota; Viridiplantae; Streptophyta; Magnoliopsida; Apiales; Araliaceae. The record is from RNAcentral.
UUAAAACCUUACACUUUUGAAACCCACCGAAAAUGGCGAAAGACAGAAACAAAUCUCCCGAAGAAGAAAAACAAACACAAAAUGGAGUUUCUUCUAACAGAGUGCACAAAUCUAAAAGGAAAAUAAAUGAUGUUGGUGAUGAUAUAUAUGAAUCCCAAUCCGAGUCAGGAUCCAGAUUUGAUGACGGAAGUCACGAAAGUAAACACAACAGUAGAAGCUCGAGAAAGAUAUAAGUUGAAGCUCCAAGAACAUAUCACAGAGAAAGUAAGCGACGAUGAUGAAAGAGGAGAGAGAAAAGGAGAAGGAGCGGAGACAGAGGAGAGAGAAGUCUAAUGACGAGCGGCUCUAAGAAUAAGAAGAAGAAAAGGAAGGAUAAGAAGAAAGAGAAACAAUCUAUUUGAUUUCUUUGAUUUAAUUUGUUGUUAUUUUGUAAUUAAUUUUUUUGUACAAGUUAUGAUUUG